RNAcentral lists this long non-coding RNA (1051 nucleotides) under Malus domestica (apple). Its description in RNAcentral is "long non-coding RNA (MDOM_LNC011095)". Lineage: Eukaryota; Viridiplantae; Streptophyta; Magnoliopsida; Rosales; Rosaceae. The record is from RNAcentral.
AGGGUGCUCGCGUCCUCCUCAGCGAGGUACUCGAUCUGCAGAGAUUAUGGAUGUGUCUUCGAAUGAAGAUCAUUGCAGUAGCUUUCUAAGCUUCGUCGAUAGGUUUGUCGUCGGUAGGUGCCUCGAUGGCAGCUCUAAUACCCUUUGCAGUAAGAUGAAGCUUCACGUCUUGAACCCACUUCAAGUAGUUUCUUCCAGAUACUUCCAAAACGGUGAAAUUGAGCUUGUUCAAGUUCGACAUGUCCCUAAAACGGAGGGUACAAAAACGUGGUUAGUCAUAUGGUAAUCCAUAGACAUACAUUGUAAAACAUUUGGGUUCUAUAGGCGUGUAUUGUUUUAAUUUAUGAAUGAAAGCUAUAGGUUUCAAGUGGUAAGUUUUGAGUGAAAACUUUGGACUUCAAAGGCACUAAAUAUGAAACUGCAGGUUCAAUUUAGUUUUAUGAACGAUUAGUUCAUAAAGGAGAGGUUCCUGCAAGAAACACAAAAUGCUAUAUACUGAUUUAAGUGUAAUGGAUUUGGGUUGCUUCGGGAACUCAAGUGUGAGAGCUUCGGGGCUACGAAAGGAUGUCAACGGUUCAAGGUAUAAAAAUAAAUUAUUGAAUCGAUAGUGUCUAAAAGUGAUCUUCAGGUCAAUAAUUUUGGAUUAAUUAUCAGAUUAAUGGACUACAGGUCACUUUUAAUUAAUUAAUAGAUCGGGACCAAACGGGAUCAAUCUUGGAAGCAAAAAUAAUAAUAACAUUCAGGUUAAAAUUAUUUAAAAUGCAAAAAAAUUAGCAUUAGAUUAAAAAAACCAUAGCCCAAUAUCAUUUUGGCUUGGGUGCUGUGAGUAAGGCAAAGCCCUAGAGGCUUUUGGCCGAGGGACUAGGUAGCCCACAUAUGGUUGCAGGCCACUGGCCGAGGGACUAGGUAGCCCAACAGCAAGCUGCUUGCGUUUUUGGGCCAAAGAGUGCACGGGAGCAAGCCCAGCCGAAGCUAGCUUGUGGGUUAACACAUGCGAGGCCCAGUCGAAAUUGGGGUUGGGUUUUUGGACUGUGGAUAAGCCUAGCCUGCA